Toxoplasma gondii ME49 is the source of this 646-nucleotide ribosomal RNA. Lineage: Eukaryota; Apicomplexa; Conoidasida; Eucoccidiorida; Sarcocystidae. The record is from RefSeq and is a predicted model, not a curated record.
UCAUAUGCUUGUCUUAAAGAUUAAGCCAUGCAUGUCUAAGUAUAAGCUUUUAUACGGCUAAACUGCGAAUGGCUCAUUAAAACAGUUAUAGUUUAUUUGAUGGUCUUUACUACAUGGAUAACCGUGGUAAUUCUAUGGCUAAUACAUGCGCACAUGCCUCUUCCCCUGGAAGGGCAGUGUUUAUUAGAUACAGAACCAACCCACCUUCCGGUGGUCCUCAGGCGAUUCAUAGUAACCGAACGGAUCGCGUUGACUUCGGUCUGCGACGGAUCAUUCAAGUUUCUGACCUAUCAGCUUUCGACGGUACUGUAUUGGACUACCGUGGCAGUGACGGGUAACGGGGAAUUAGGGUUCGAUUCCGGAGAGGGAGCCUGAGAAACGGCUACCACAUCUAAGGAAGGCAGCAGGCGCGCAAAUUACCCAAUCCUGAUUCAGGGAGGUAGUGACAAGAAAUAACAACACUGGAAAUUUCAUUUCUAGUGAUUGGAAUGAUAGGAAUCCAAACCCCUUUCAGAGUAACAAUUGGAGGGCAAGUCUGGUGCCAGCAGCCGCGGUAAUUCCAGCUCCAAUAGCGUAUAUUAAAGUUGUUGCAGUUAAAAAGCUCGUAGUUGGAUUUCUGCUGGAAGCAGCCAGUCCGCCCUCAGGG